GCACAGGUCCCGCCCUCCGGCCGGCCGGCGGCCGUGGGAGAAGGCGGGGGGAAUGGUGUGAGAAAGUGACGCGGCGUGGCCAGAGGGCAGCGCGCCAAUGAGAACGCGGCAGAGGCAGCGGGCGCUCAAUGGGAGCCGAGAGCAGCGCGCGGGCAGCCAAUGGGAGGGCGCUGCCGACCGCGGAGCUGCUACAUCCUCUACUGCUCCUGACCCCUUGUCUUGACUUCUGAGCUGGCCCUUAAACCUGCCUCACCACAGCAGACUCAUCUGGAAAUCUGGACUUCUGUCUGGCCCGCCUGCUGCCACUGGCUCUGCCCUGCUCUUCUGUUUGGGUGCUGUGAGAGUGUGCCUUUUCCAGCAAGGCCACUGCCCCACUCUCCUGGUCACACUCCGCUCCUGGCCCUUCUGCCCUUUAAGGGCAGCCUGUUCCCCACUGCUUCCUGACAGCAUAACUGUGUUCACCUGUAAGCUUAUUGCUUG
Molecule: long non-coding RNA, 480 nt
Filed under: Gallus gallus (chicken)
Lineage: Eukaryota; Metazoa; Chordata; Aves; Galliformes; Phasianidae
Description: long non-coding RNA NONGGAT011690
Source: RNAcentral